RNAcentral lists this long non-coding RNA (1586 nucleotides) under Olea europaea subsp. europaea. Lineage: Eukaryota; Viridiplantae; Streptophyta; Magnoliopsida; Lamiales; Oleaceae. The record is from RNAcentral.
CUCCUAAUUUGCUUUUCUAUAUGAAUUGAAGAUUGAUUCACUAACUGACUAAUAAAUAAUAAGUAUAACUAAAACACAAAAUACAUCAUUGCAUAUUUGCAUCAAAGUACAAACAAUACUCAAAUCAAUUAUCAACAGACACUCAACAAAUCAACAGACAACAAUUCAAUAGUCAACAAAGGGUUUGCAACAAAAAGAAUUCAACAUUCAACCAAAAAAAUUCAAGUAUUCAACUCACCCACGCAGCUUGCUCGGCCUCGAUUGUUCCUGACUUCGCACCAGUUCGCACACGGUCCACCAUCCACAACUGCUCGUACAGUCGCACUCGUACUUCCCACCCAUUUCGUUCGCAGGCGCUGCAGCUACUGCUUUUGCUUGGAAUGGAAAUAUGGAAUUGGAAGAAAUGGUUUGCACUUCGUCUUUGCUUGCUGCCGGUUUCAAAUGUUGGGGAAUAGGGAUUUGAAGUCUGGGUUGGGGGGAAAUUAAUACCAUGGAUGCCGGACCAAUGAUUUCCUCUAUUGGGCCAAUUUUUUUUUUUUUUAAACAAAAAAGGCCCAGUUCACCAGCCCAAGCCCCAAUGAUAAGAAAAUGGAAAUCUCCUUCGUUCUUCCCCUUCAACCUUUGUCUCAGCAUUCUGCAACUUAGCAACUACCUGCGCCUGCAACCCGGUAGUCUCGGCGGCAACUGAAGGUCCCGGCGGAUCCAGCACGCGCGGCCGCGGGUGCUGCCAGGUGCUGGUCCGCCACUGCUUUUACUAACUCAAUUUACUAGGACUUUGUUUUUUUUUUAAUAUAAAAUAAGAAAUACUUUUACUAACUCGAUUAGAAUAUUUCCUGCUAAUAAUGUAUUAUAAAAUUAAGAGAAAGACGAAAGAACAAUAAAAACAUAUAGAGUUAAAAUUCAAAUAUAUAUUUCAUUAGAAAAAUGAACCAUAUAUACACGUAUGGUUUCAAUGAGAAUAACAGACUGAAUAUAAUACUCUUCUUAAUUAAGUAGAAAGCCGUAUAGAUUUUCAUACAUAUAUAGCCUUUAAACUUUAUUCUCUCUACCCAUGGGUGAGCCGCCACCGUCCUCAACCAAUAAUCAUCACCAUCCACUACCCAAACCACCUAACUCGCCCACCACUGGUAGCCUCUCACUGCCCUCCACAACAUCGGACCUUUACCAACCCACAACACAGCCGGAAACAGUCCCAAUCUCCACAGAACUGCAAGCCUUAACACCAAACAUUCUUCUCUCCCGCUUCCCAUACCACCGAACGCCACCACCACAGACGACGGCAAGAGCCCCUCUCCACAAUUCCCUGUCUCACCUAGCCUCACGCUACCCAUAUCAGCCACAACAUCCAAAGAACCUCUCCUAUUUGUGAUCUACCUUUCUAGCCGCACCAAAACUUCAAAUCACCCACCGAACAUCUCUCUUCCCCAAACCUGCGGUUUCAGUGGAGUUGUAGCAACAAAGAUUGCUAAGAAUCUCAGUGUCCAGCAAGCGGGUUCCUUCCAGACGAGAUUUUGUGAAAAUGUGAUUCAAUACGUAAUGCUAAUGUUUUGCAAUUGAAUACUUUCACCCCCAAUCAUUCAAUUGAG